Molecule: microRNA precursor, 101 nt
Filed under: Marmota monax (woodchuck)
Lineage: Eukaryota; Metazoa; Chordata; Mammalia; Rodentia; Sciuridae
Source: RNAcentral
AUGCACAUCAUGUGGGAAUUUGUUAAAAUGCAGAUUCAAACCCUUUGGGUCUGGAGUGGGGCUGAGAUCUGCAUUUCUAACAAGUCUCAGGUGCAGCUGCU